GCACCUUGGUUCGAUUCCCGGGCUGCACAGCCCUCUUGUGUGCAACAAACAUAGACUUUGUUCUUGAUUAGAAAAAGCUUUUUGUCAGCAUCUUAUCAUGCAAACGAGAUUCAGAUUCAGGCUGCAGAGAUUCAGAUUCAAGCUGCAGAGAUUCAGAUUCAGGCUGUUGAGAGUUUCAGGCUCAACCUCUCCGCUUUAAACACCAACGCUGUUUUUCUGACCAAUUAUUCGACGUUGAAGCCAGAACAUUUUGUAAGAGCUGAUUUAAUUUGGGGAAAAAGUUGACGACCACCGGAAGCUGAGCGAGUUCACGGAGAGGAAUCGGCCGAAGAGACGUCACAUCUGUCUGUUCACACUCAGCACAUCAGGAACACAAACCUCCCUCAGAAACAACGCUUCCAGUGGAAAGUCAACAGGCUAAAUCAUCUCAAUACAUUUAUCUUUUAUAUUAUUUUAACGUCUUUCCGUGGUUGAUAUUUAAAGCCAUUAUUAUUUCAUAUAUCAUGUAUGUUUACCUUUAUGAAUAAGAUUAACGUGCGUUUAUUAUUAAUAUGACCCUAUCAUAAUAAUAGCAGUUGCAAUUUUAAGGUUAAAUGAAGUAGCCGUUGAUUAACGAUUAUUGACUUAAUACUAUGAAGCAUCAGUGCAUGAGGUGCUUCAUUUGCGAUGAAUAAAUGAGAGUCCUGCAGGGAAACUACAAUUAAAACCACAGAAGAAGAGGAGUGGCAGGGACACAUGUAACAUGUUCAGCAACAACACGAGUCAGUCGACCUCCGUCCAACACCUAACCCCCCUCCCCCCUCACUCAGAGCCCCUCCUCCCCCCGCCCUGCUCUCCGGACAGAUGUUAGAAACAUUACGAGACACGGCCAGCGAAGGAGAAAAAAAGAGCCCGUGUAAGUUUUCCAGAAAGAAUGUUUUAAUGGCGCUGCUUUAAGAGACGUCGGCCCGCUGCAGGAAUUCAAUUACAGCUGAUUGAGUGUUGACAUUUCUGAGGCCGCAAGACAGGAAAUUCAUUAAAAGCAGCAGUGCAUCUUGGGAGGGAAAGUAGCGCCGCGUAGACAGAACCCGUCGGGCCGAGGUGAUGGUGGGACGGGUCGCUGCUCGGGUCGGCCUGCCGCUCGCCCGCCUCUCUCUCUCUCUCGCCGCAUUGAUCGAGAAACAACCGGCCCACGGACUCACCGAGGGAGGGUGGAGGAGGGUGGAGGAGGAAUAAUGUGAGACAUUGAUUCUGACCAGGCGUGGUAUUGUAAUAACAUCUGUGAGCGGUUUGUGACGGCGAGGACGGGUCAUCGCGGCGCGGUCGGGUCGACGCUUCGUUUUGCUGCUGUUCAUCCUCUACCUGCAUAUUAUCACACGCAUAACCUCCCGUACUUAAAUAUAUUAGUAAUUAUACAUAGGAAAGGUCCAGUUGGAGAAGGUUCCUGGGAGAGAAGGUCCUCUUCUGUGUUAUAAGUCCUGAGGAUCCAUCCUGGUUAUUUGAUAUUAUGCUUUAUGUAAUGAAUGUCUUCACAAGGCUUCUUCAAACUUUUAAUAGAAAUAUGUCAGAAAACAUGGAGGAAUUUGAAGCUUUUUAUUUAACUCAUGACCUUCAGCGAUGUUUGGGAAUCCGACACACCUGAUGAUCCGUCUCUUCCAACACACGUGUGUUGUUUAAUCAGAGCUUUUGCUCCUCCGAGGUUUGGUUUUCCUCGUCAGCGCGAGAAGAUAAAACAACAUCCCGACCACAAGUGGAAGGGAUCGAACAUCUGUUCCACCAGAACAGCUGAUCCUUCGUGACUUUUAUUCUGAAUCAUGUGACUCAGAAUGUAGACACAAGCUCGUUUCAGCUUCAGUCCAGUUUGUACAGUCGCUGAGAGCAACAUCGGGACAGGAGAAGAGAAGAAAGGAGAAGGAGAGGUGGAAGAAGAAUGACGAAACAGAAAGAUAUGAAGACAAAGCAGCAAAAGAUGAGGAAGAAGAUGACAAAGAGGAAGAAGAGGACAGUUUCCAUCUGCAGACACAAACUCUACUGAGAGCAUAAUUAAAUGUAAAGCGUGUAAUAAAAGCACAUCUGGAGCUCAACUAUUUAUUUGAUUAAACAUCUGUAUUUAAAUGCACCAGACUUAUAUGUUAUACGUUGCUGAUGAAGUCUCUUUUUUACUGCAAUGAAAGAUGAGAGGAGAGC
Long non-coding RNA from Gasterosteus aculeatus aculeatus (three-spined stickleback), 2166 nucleotides. NCBI's taxonomy places the organism in Eukaryota, Metazoa, Chordata, Actinopteri, Perciformes, Gasterosteidae. The record is from Ensembl.